UACGGAGGGUGCGAGCGUUGUCCGGAUUUAUUGGGUUUAAAGGGUGCGUAGGCGGCUUUUUAAGUCUGGGGUGAAAGCCCGCUGCUCAACAGCGGAACUGCCCUGGAUACUGGAGAGCUUGAGUACAGACGAGGUUGGCGGAAUGGACGGAGUAGCGGUGAAAUGCAUAGAUACCGUCCAGAACCCCGAUUGCGAAGGCAGCUGACUAGGCUGUUACUGACGCUGAGGCACGAAAGCGUGGGGAGCGAACAGG
Molecule: ribosomal RNA, 253 nt
Filed under: uncultured bacterium
Lineage: Bacteria
Also listed under: 1 other name
Description: partial 16S ribosomal RNA
Rfam family: Bacterial small subunit ribosomal RNA
Source: RNAcentral